AGUCGUCCUUUGUCUUAGGGGGAAAGAGUCCAGAACACACAAAAAAAGUUGCAGCGCUCGCAAAAAAACUCUUCCAUGGCUUAAAACUGGACGUUGCGUUAGACAAGGACGUCGCUAAAAAAGGAGGCGCAAAAGGGAUAUUGAAAAGAUUGGGAGU
Molecule: long non-coding RNA, 157 nt
Organism: Leguminivora glycinivorella
Lineage: Eukaryota; Metazoa; Arthropoda; Insecta; Lepidoptera; Tortricidae
Exons: 7
Source: RefSeq, a predicted model, not a curated record